RNAcentral lists this ribosomal RNA (1360 nucleotides) under Lactiplantibacillus plantarum subsp. plantarum. RNAcentral's name for it is "Lactobacillus plantarum subsp. plantarum 16S ribosomal RNA". It matches the Rfam family "Bacterial small subunit ribosomal RNA", at positions 93 to 1438 of the family's 1533-position model. The record is from RNAcentral. Lineage: Bacteria; Bacillati; Bacillota; Bacilli; Lactobacillales; Lactobacillaceae.
GAGUGGCGAACUGGUGAGUAACACGUGGGAAACCUGCCCAGAAGCGGGGGAUAACACCUGGAAACAGAUGCUAAUACCGCAUAACAACUUGGACCGCAUGGUCCGAGCUUGAAAGAUGGCUUCGGCUAUCACUUUUGGAUGGUCCCGCGGCGUAUUAGCUAGAUGGUGGGGUAACGGCUCACCAUGGCAAUGAUACGUAGCCGACCUGAGAGGGUAAUCGGCCACAUUGGGACUGAGACACGGCCCAAACUCCUACGGGAGGCAGCAGUAGGGAAUCUUCCACAAUGGACGAAAGUCUGAUGGAGCAACGCCGCGUGAGUGAAGAAGGGUUUCGGCUCGUAAAACUCUGUUGUUAAAGAAGAACAUAUCUGAGAGUAACUGUUCAGGUAUUGACGGUAUUUAACCAGAAAGCCACGGCUAACUACGUGCCAGCAGCCGCGGUAAUACGUAGGUGGCAAGCGUUGUCCGGGAUUUAUUGGGCGUAAAGCGAGCGCAGGCGGUUUUUUAAGUCUGAUGUGAAAGCCUUUCGGCUCAACCGAAGAAGUGCAUCGGAAACUGGGAAACUUGAGUGCAGAAGAGGACAGUGGAACUCCAUGUGUAGCGGUGAAAUGCGUAGAUAUAUGGAAGAACACCAGUGGCGAAGGCGGCUGUCUGGUCUGUAACUGACGCUGAGGCUCGAAAGUAUGGGUAGCAAACAGGAUUAGAUACCCUGGUAGUCCAUACCGUAAACGAUGAAUGCUAAGUGUUGGAGGGUUUCCGCCCUUCAGUGCUGCAGCUAACGCAUUAAGCAUUCCGCCUGGGGAGUACGGCCGCAAGGCUGAAACUCAAAGGAAUUGACGGGGGCCCGCACAAGCGGUGGAGCAUGUGGUUUAAUUCGAAGCUACGCGAAGAACCUUACCAGGUCUUGACAUACUAUGCAAAUCUAAGAGAUUAGACGUUCCCUUCGGGGACAUGGAUACAGGUGGUGCAUGGUUGUCGUCAGCUCGUGUCGUGAGAUGUUGGGUUAAGUCCCGCAACGAGCGCAACCCUUAUUAUCAGUUGCCAGCAUUAAGUUGGGCACUCUGGUGAGACUGCCGGUGACAAACCGGAGGAAGGUGGGGAUGACGUCAAAUCAUCAUGCCCCUUAUGACCUGGGCUACACACGUGCUACAAUGGAUGGUACAACGAGUUGCGAACUCGCGAGAGUAAGCUAAUCUCUUAAAGCCAUUCUCAGUUCGGAUUGUAGGCUGCAACUCGCCUACAUGAAGUCGGAAUCGCUAGUAAUCGCGGAUCAGCAUGCCGCGGUGAAUACGUUCCCGGGCCUUGUACACACCGCCCGUCACACCAUGAGAGUUUGUAACACCCAAAGUCGGUGGGGUAA